This is a non-coding RNA of Podarcis lilfordi (Lilford's wall lizard), 4686 nucleotides long. NCBI's taxonomy places the organism in Eukaryota, Metazoa, Chordata, Lepidosauria, Squamata, Lacertidae. The record is from the annotation of a GenBank genome assembly.
GUAAAUUGGGGGAGAGCUUCCUGUUGGGGGUGUGUGGUUGCCCCCUGGCCUCCCUGCAUGCAUAAGUUUGCACUGCACAAUUUUUGCUUUCCCUUUGACUAUAUGCCUCCAUGAAUUAGUCUCUCUCUCUCCCCCCCCCCCACUCCAUUCCAAUAUGUUCUGUAAGGUGGACUUCUAGAAUGCAACACUGGUUGGCUGUUUUAUAUAAGGCAGAGGGAAGGCUUCUGUGCUUGCUUUUCUCGCCGUUUAGAACAGCACCUUAAAUAAAUGAUACGCUCCUUGGACCAAGGCAGGAGCAAACCUUCUGCACAGCUGUGCUCUUGGAAUGGAGGAACCCUUUUCUAUGCUGCAUGCUUUCCUCUGCAAAGUGGCAAUUCAGAAGUGUUAAAGGAGUAGCAGAAGGAUAUACAGCGAACCCAUGCUUGACAAUGAUUUCCUGAUGUUUCUGCUUCGCACGGCCAUAAUUAGAAUAAGUGUAUUGCAAUUACAGAAGAGGAACUCAUAUGUAAGGCAAAAGGUACUGACACAGACUCCCCUCUCCUUUCUCUCAUCGCUUUGCUCAAGCAGUUAGGAGCAGCUUUUAGCGAGAAAGAUCUGCCCUUUGAAUGUAUUUUAUUCCCCCUUUUAAAGUUUCAUUACUUCUCUCAAGCUCUCCCCCCCAUGCGAAAUGCGAUGUUUCCACGCUCUGUACAUGUGCUCCCUUAAAAGAUUUGUUUAGCUAAGGAAACCGCUGCUAAGCGGCGAGAAAGGAAUUAAAUGUAUAGAAUGAUAAGCUGCUGCUAAGACGUAUAAGAACACUUAAAUUAAUAAUAAGGACUUGUUCUGAGGCAAAAUUCAAUUUUGCUUCCUAUUAUGCAAUCUUUGCAUGUAAAGUUGCUUUAAUGCAAAAUAGCAGCUCAUCAAAAAUUCUGUUUUAUUGGUAUCAAAAAUUUAUGAUAUCCUGAGGCAUGAGGGGCCAGGGCGCAAGGUAGGCAAGCCAUGUCCUUUUAGCAAGUUUAGUGCUUUCUGAAAAGCAAUGUAUUUCAAACUUGGGGAAAAAUUAUUCCUGAGAUGAAGGUAUGGUGGUGGGGAAGUUUCGGUUGUGGUAAGGCUGCUUGCACGAGAAAGCCACUGAAUACUGGCAGUCAGUAAGCCAAAUAUAUUCUUUCGGCAGAGUUCAGAGAUGUCACAGGCAGCUGCUAUUAUUGGUUGGAGAAGGAAGAAAGGGGUCUUCUGAAGUGUUACUGGGAAAUCUUCAGUUUCCCAGCCUAUAUCAAUUGUAUAUGCUCUCUGACCCAUUUAUCAGCAAAUAUGAAUGUCUGUACAAAUGUAUAAAUGCAAGGGGCCAGACCUAGACUUGCUCAUGCUUAGAAUGGGCCCACUAAAAUCAACACGACUUCUUAGUCAUAACUAAUUUGUCCUAUUCAUUUAAAUGGGUCUACCUGAAGCACAAUUAAGUCUGGUUCCAACCAAAGCUGUCCAAAAAUGAAUUUGAUUUUUAUUUAUUUAUCUUUAUAAAAAAAAGCUUCACAUGCUUUUCUGUGCUAUCUUUAUUUCUCUCUUAGUACCAUGCUGUAAAGCACUGUGCAAGAAAACCUCACAACACACUCUCAACAGCCUCAUGAGGGUAGGUAAUCAAUAUAAGAAUCUAAUCGUUUUGCUGGUAGAUUUAAGCUGAUAGUGGCUCCUUCUGGCUGCAGGGGGAUCCAUGGAAAAAGUGAGCCUGGAACCCUGGUUUCCCAUGUAGUGGAGCAAAAUGAGUUGGGGGAAGGCCUGCAAUGUUCUCCAAAACAGUAGGCUAGUUUCUACACUCACACACCCCUCACUGUCCUCCAGACAAAAGGCGUUAUCAGAUUCCAAGGACACAUUCCUGCCAGGCGAAAACAGUCAAGGACUGUCGCCUGGUGCGAGUUUGUUGUGGCUAAGGAUGGUUGUGCAUGUGAUGUGGGGAGAGUCUUGAAGGCCAGGAUCCUCAACUCUGGUCUAAUGUGAGAGAUGCUGAUUCAGAAGUCUGUCUAGAAGCCAAGCUUUCUGAUCAAUGCCCUCCCACCAGAUGUCAAAGAGAACAACAACUACCAGACUUUAAGAAGACAUUUGAAGGCAGCCCUGUUUAGGGAAGCUUUUAAUGUUUGAUGGACUGCUGUAUUUUAAUAUUUUGUUGGAAGCCGCCCAGAAUGAUGGGCGGGGUAUAAAUACAAAAUUAUUAUUAAUUAUUAUUAUUAUUAUUAUUAUUAUUAAAGAGGCACAUGGAAGGGCAGGUUGUCAACACACUGUGGUAAGGAAACACAGUCUGUGUAUGCCCAGAGAUAGUUCCAUCUUUAUUGCUUCUUCCAGUGAGCCAUGGGGAUUGGAAACAGUAUCUGAUGCUCAGCUCAGAAAGGUGGCCUUACAUUCUGCACUGCACUCGCCGUAAUAGCAGAAUUAGUGCCCAUGUACUGGUGGAAAUGGAGUUUGGGCUGCUGAGAAACAAGAGGAAGGCAUCCUGAUGUUUACAGAUUUGGUUUUUUUAAUCGAACCCUGCCACAAAUAAAACAGAAAGAGACAUUCCCAUGCAUCCCAAGAGCCAAAUAGCACUGAGCAUGCCCAGUGGACACAGGUACCAGUGAAUGCCAGCUAGAUAAGAAAAACUGAAGGCAGGGUGGGGUGGGGAAAAUGAAAGGGCAGUUGGGCUGCUGGAACUCCCAACAGCUUUGUGUCUCGGAGGGUGGCAUGUCUGGCUGGCUGGCAUAAACAGGAGUGCUCUAUUUAGUGGAGGGUGUUAUACGGCAACAUUUUGUUCUACUUUUAGCACUGGGUGUAAUGAAAUACUUCUUUCUGUUGCUCUUUUUGUCUGACAGUUCUAAGUAAAGACCCCUUUAACGGCAGACUUACAAACACCACACAUUUGUUCUGGGUAUCUGCUGCCCAGUCAGCUGAUCUGGAUAUCAGUGGUGCUGAUCAGUGGUUUGGAGUGCCUGUGUCCAGUUAUGGGUCCAGGGACCCCUUAAUUGACCCGGGUGCUUUGUUUGCUGGGGGUGUUCCUAGGCAGAACUUCAUGCAUAUAGGUAGGCAGGUUGCUUGGGGAUCAACAGUUAAAUUGUAUUCUGCCACAUGCAGAUAGAAGUAGAAAUUUCAGAACUAAGAAACUCCUAAGUGAUUCACACAUAGUCUGGGAAAUCAGCUUUCUAUACAUUGUUGCUAUGACUAUAUUAUAAUAUAUAUAUAUAUAUAUAAUAAAGGGUAUAAUAAAUACGGUAUAUAAAAAUUAUUCUGGAGCUACAAGUCUAAGCAAGGACAGACUAAGCAGAAUCAAGCCUUCAUGAUGUUUGUUUCUAACCUACUGACUGUCUUAUUUCCUUCUUUAUCAUUCAGAGCUCAGUUUAAAAAUUGCUUUAUACAUUGUCUUGUCCACACAACAACCCCCAUGAGAAAGGUUACUAUUGUUCUUAUUUUGCAGAUGGGGAAACUUGCUGAAGGCCAUCCAGUGAAACCAUUGGUGCGUUGGGGAGAGUGUUUUGGAUGAACUUGGCCCAUGGGAUUGCACUAAUUUCCUCUUUACAGCAUGUGGCUAUUAGGACUCUAUUAGUGCCCUGCACAUCAUGGUGACCAAGAACCAGGAGAAGAAGCUAAAUGGAUUGCAAACCUACUUGAAUAGCACGAUGAAAAAUGGCUGAAUCAUCAGCCGUGUCUUCCUCACUUUGGAUCCUUCUCCCAUUUUGGGGUUUCUCCAUUCACCCCCCCUCAAAGUACAAUGUUAUUUUCAAGGGCAAGUUCAUUUCAGACUCUGGAUGGGGGUACCUUUUGUAAAUUUCUCCCUUGUUAAAAAAAACCAACAAUAAUCAAAUAUUUGCCUCCCUUCUCCCCACCAAAAAAGUGCACCAGGGACAAAGAUUGUAGACCAGCCUGCUGCUGGCAGGGCUAGUUUUGUAUGUCCAGAGGUUUCUUUCAUUUUUUUAAAGAAAAAGAAUACAAGGGAACAUUGUUUAUAACUGUGAUUCCCCCAUUUGUAUUUGAAGUGGUACACUCCUUUCUACCACCUCAUUACACCACCAUCUCAUUCGGCUACAUGGGCAGACCAGGCCUUAGGCAAGUUACUUUCUCUCAGACUCAGUGUCUCCCCUCAAUUCUGCAAUAUGGGGAUAAUGCUUGGUUGUGAGGCAGGAUUGCUGAGCUGAUGAAUGUGUAGUGCUUUGAACUCUCUAAGCACUUUAUAAAUGCUAUUAUUAGCACAAAACACAAAGACACAAUGUGCCGUUCCGUCCACUCCAAAAUAUACCUGAUUCACAAUCUCUAAUAAAGGUGAAUCACAGGUAAGAAUUGUGCGUCAUUUAUAAAAUGAAAAGAGCCAGAGUUGAAGCCUUUCUUGAAGCCAGAUUGUAUGACUGGAAUCAAUUCUAUUGUUAGAAAGUUUAAUGAUAGUAACGGUGAAUGGAAGGCACUUUGUACGUGUUUCAGUGUGCUCUUGUCUUGAUUAUUUAUGAAUGUCUAUGAUGCAGGUAUAAGUCCUGACAUUGAAAACAGGUUCUGAAACUAAGCCUGGUGAGUCUUAACUAAAAUUAAACCCAGAAUAAGAGUUAAAUUUGCACUCAGAAGAAGGCUGUGUAGUAAUGUCACCCAGUUCCAUAAUUUAUGAAGCAAUUUGGAUCACACUUAAACAUAGCAGACUUAUCAUCUUGUCUCUGGAAUAGAAUUUAAAGACAUUGUUUAUAAUAAAUCAUUGCAACUCUA